ACGCGAAGAACCUUACCUGGGCUAGAAACGGCAGGAAUCUGGGUGAAAACUCGGAGUGUCCUUCGGGAAAUCUGUCGCUAGGUGCUGCAUGGCAUGUCGUCAGCUCGUGUCGUGAGAUGUUGGGUUAAGUCCCGCAACGAGCGCAACCCCCUGUUGCUAGUUGCCAGCAGUUCGGCUGGGCACUCUAGCAAGACUGCCGGUCGUUAAGCCGGAGGAAGGUGGGGAUGACGUCAAGUCCUCAUGGCCCUUAUGUCCAGGGCUACACACGUGCUACAAUGGACGGCACAAAGGGCUGCGAGCCCGCGAGGGUGAGCGAAUCCCAAAAAACCGUCCUCAGUAAAGAGUCUGCAACUCGACUCUUUGAAGUUGGAUCGCUA
This 377-nucleotide ribosomal RNA is filed under the name uncultured bacterium. RNAcentral describes it as "bacterial SSU rRNA". It matches the Rfam family "Bacterial small subunit ribosomal RNA", at positions 959 to 1337 of the family's 1533-position model. The record is from RNAcentral.